AACCAGCACCUCAAGUGGUCAGGAUGAUUAUUGGGCCUAAAGCAUCCGUAGCCUGUUUUGUAAGUCUUCGGUUAAAUCUACAUGCUCAACGUGUAGGCUGCCGGAGAUACUGCAGAACUAGGGAGUGGGAGAGGUAGACGGUACUUGGUAGGAAGGGGUAAAAUCCUUUGAUCUAUUGAUGACCACCUGUGGCGAAGGCGGUCUACCAGAACACGUUCGACGGUGAGGGAUGAAAGCUGGGGGAGCAAACCGG
RNAcentral lists this ribosomal RNA (253 nucleotides) under uncultured archaeon. RNAcentral's name for it is "partial 16S ribosomal RNA". It matches the Rfam family "Archaeal small subunit ribosomal RNA", at positions 474 to 727 of the family's 1478-position model. The record is from RNAcentral.